RNAcentral lists this ribosomal RNA (490 nucleotides) under uncultured bacterium. RNAcentral describes it as "partial 16S ribosomal RNA". It matches the Rfam family "Bacterial small subunit ribosomal RNA", at positions 29 to 507 of the family's 1533-position model. The record is from RNAcentral.
AGUGAACGCUGGCGGCAGGCCUAACACAUGCAAGUCGAACGGCAGCACAAGAGAGCUUGCUCUCUGGGUGGCGAGUGGCGGACGGGUGAGGAAUGCAUCGGAAUCUGCCCAUUUGUGGGGGAUAACCUCGGGAAACCGGGACUAAUACCGCAUACGACCUACGGGUGAAAGCAGGGGAUCUUCGGACCUUGCGCAGAUGGAUGAGCCGAUGCCGGAUUAGCUAGUUGGAGGGGUAAAGGCCCACCAAGGCGACGAUCCGUAGCUGGUCUGAGAGGAUGAUCAGCCACACUGGGACUGAGACACGGCCCAGACUCCUACGGGAGGCAGCAGUGGGGAAUAUUGGACGAUGGGCGCAAGCCUGAUCCAGCCAUGCCGCGUGUGUGAAGAAGGCCUUCGGGUUGUAAAGCACUUUUGUUGGGAAAGAAAAGCAGCCGGUUAAUACCCGGUUGUCAUGACGGUACCCAAAGAAUAAGCACCGGCUAACUUCGUG